Long non-coding RNA from Melanotaenia boesemani (Boeseman's rainbowfish), 492 nucleotides. RefSeq lists it as uncharacterized. Lineage: Eukaryota; Metazoa; Chordata; Actinopteri; Atheriniformes; Melanotaeniidae. The record is from RefSeq and is a predicted model, not a curated record. The transcript is spliced from 2 exons.
UCUCGGGAGACAGACGGGCUAGAGGUGGAGACAGAGGACGUCUCGAGAGACAGACGGGCUAGAGGUGGAGGCAGAGGACGUUAACCAAACAGGCCACUCCUGAAGUUUUUAAAGUUUUAAAAUUGGAGUAAGCUGACACAUAUGUGCAUCACCAAGCUGAGUAACCACUUCAUUACCAAAGAUACCAAACAAGAUUUAUCUAAGAAAACCAAGAGAACAGAAUGGAGGAAGAGAGGAAGAGAGACAGAGGAAGAGACAAGAGUCAACAUUAUCACUUUUAAUGGCUGGAGAGAUCUCAGAGAAGAGAUGGGACGAAGACCAUCCUGGAUUAGCCGUUGCUAGGGGAUGAAGACAGCUAAUCAAACCUCCCGAUCAGUUUUAUUAGCUGCCGAUACGCUAAUAACUCAGAGCUCAUGUUAAACGUCUAAAUAAACACAAUCAGACAUGCUGCUCAGAUUUUUGUUGUGAUCAAAUAAAAACCAGUUUUCUGUG